This 465-nucleotide ribosomal RNA is filed under the name Vreelandella stevensii. Its description in RNAcentral is "partial 16S ribosomal RNA". It matches the Rfam family "Bacterial small subunit ribosomal RNA", at positions 338 to 795 of the family's 1533-position model. Lineage: Bacteria; Pseudomonadati; Pseudomonadota; Gammaproteobacteria; Oceanospirillales; Halomonadaceae. The record is from RNAcentral.
CCUACGGGAGGCUGCAGUGGGGAAUAUUGGACAAUGGGGGCAACCCUGAUCCAGCCAUGCCGCGUGUGUGAAGAAGGCCCUCGGGUUGUAAAGCACUUUCAGUGAGGAAGAACGCCUGGUGGUUAAUACCCAUCAGGAAAGACAUCACUCACAGAAGAAGCACCGGCUAACUCCGUGCCAGCAGCCGCGGUAAUACGGAGGGUGCGAGCGUUAAUCGGAAUUACUGGGCGUAAAGCGCGCGUAGGUGGCUUGAUAAGCCGGUUGUGAAAGCCCCGGGCUCAACCUGGGAACGGCAUCCGGAACUGUCAAGCUAGAGUGCAGGAGAGGAAGGUAGAAUUCCCGGUGUAGCGGUGAAAUGCGUAGAGAUCGGGAGGAAUACCAGUGGCGAAGGCGGCCUUCUGGACUGACACUGACACUGAGGUGCGAAAGCGUGGGUAGCAAACAGGAUUAGAUACCCCAGUAGCC